This 732-nucleotide long non-coding RNA is filed under the name Chinchilla lanigera (long-tailed chinchilla). Its description in RNAcentral is "lncRNA (ENSCLAG00000028386.1)". The record is from RNAcentral. Lineage: Eukaryota; Metazoa; Chordata; Mammalia; Rodentia; Chinchillidae.
CCCGGCUACUGGGAGGCUAGGGCUGCUGUUCCCGUUGUAGCGUUUCUCGCCAAUCAGGAAGGUGAGGGAGUGGGCGGGGCAGGGAAGGGGUGGGCCGAGCUCGCAGCACCGCCGGGCGCCCGUCGGGCUCUGGGAGAGAGAAAUCCGGUUAGAAUCGGAGUCGGAGGGAGGUUUAACUACAGCUCGGUUCCCUUCGGAUUAUUCUUUAAAGGGGACGCGCCAUUGUCAAGAGGACGGAGCCCGGGGCCCGAGGGCGGGGACCGGCGGCGCCUAGAGCGAGGCAGUUGCACUUGGACCGGGCACGGCCUUCAGCAUUCCAUGACUGGCUUGCUGCAUGGAGAAUCAGGACUGCUUUGCUCCCGUGUGGCCACUUGAAUGCCUGUAAAUUAGCAGCUCCAGACUGAAAAAAGCUUCUAGAUGGAUCCUUCCCAAAUUUGGUGUCUUUUCUAUGGACUAUGUGCCUCCACAACCAUUUCUCAGUGGUAAGGACGUGUGCUUUCUGUCUCUGACUAGGAAUUUGUAAGACAAUGUUUGGAUUGCCUUCUCCUAUUCUAAUCCUUCUCUUUUCACAUACAAGUUAAUAUUUGCACUUGAAAAACUUUUAGUGCCUCUUUGCCCUACGUGAAGUUUGCGGUCACCCCGGGGAGUGGGUACAUGCACAUGUACACGGAACAGCUUGAUUCCCUUUUGUAGUCGCCUUCCCACCACGCUGCCGCGAAAUCCCCUUUCCCC